UUCGAUCCUGGCUCAGGAUGAACGCUAGCGACAGGCUUAACACAUGCAAGUCGAGGGGCAGCAUAAAAGUAGCAAUACUUGGUGGCGACCGGCGCACGGGUGAGUAACGCGUAUGCAACCUACCUAUCAGGAGGGGAAUAACCCGGCGAAAGUCGGACUAAUACCGCAUAAAACAGGGGCACCGCAUGGUGAUAUUUGUUAAAGAAAUUCGCUGAUAGAUGGGCAUGCGUUCCAUUAGGUAGUUGGUGAGGUAACGGCUCACCAAGCCGACGAUGGAUAGGGGAACUGAGAGGUUGGUCCCCCACACUGGUACUGAGACACGGACCAGACUCCUACGGGAGGCAGCAGUGAGGAAUAUUGGUCAAUGGGCGAGAGCCUGAACCAGCCAAGUCGCGUGAAGGAAGAAGGAUCUAUGGUUCGUAAACUUCUUUUGCAGGGGAAUAAAGUGCAGGACGUGUCCUGUUUUGUAUGUACCCUGAGAGUAAGGAUCGGCUAACUCCGUGCCAGCCGCAGC
RNAcentral lists this ribosomal RNA (514 nucleotides) under uncultured bacterium. RNAcentral's name for it is "bacterial SSU rRNA". It matches the Rfam family "Bacterial small subunit ribosomal RNA", at positions 12 to 518 of the family's 1533-position model. The record is from RNAcentral.